RNAcentral lists this small RNA (113 nucleotides) under Arabidopsis thaliana (thale cress). RNAcentral describes it as "ATSL240030". Lineage: Eukaryota; Viridiplantae; Streptophyta; Magnoliopsida; Brassicales; Brassicaceae. The record is from RNAcentral.
UCGGAGAGAAUGAUGAAGGUGUGUGAUGAGCAAGAUGGAGAAGCAGGGCACGUGCAUUACUAGCUCAUAUAUACACUCUCACCACAAAUGCGUGUAUAUAUGCGGAAUUUUGU